RNAcentral lists this ribosomal RNA (505 nucleotides) under uncultured bacterium. RNAcentral's name for it is "bacterial SSU rRNA". It matches the Rfam family "Bacterial small subunit ribosomal RNA", at positions 8 to 507 of the family's 1533-position model. The record is from RNAcentral.
AGAGUUUGAUCAUGGCUCAGGAUGAACGCUAGCGGCAGGCCUAACACAUGCAAGUCGAGGGGUAACAGGGAGCUUGCUCUGCUGACGACCGGCGCACGGGUGCGCAACGCGUAUGCAAUCUACCUCUUACUAAGGGAUAGCCCAGAGAAAUUUGGAUUAAUAUCUUAUGUGGUAUAUGACUGGCAUCAGUUAUAUAUUAAAGGUUACGGUAAGAGAUGAGCAUGCGUCUCAUUAGUUAGUUGGUGUGGUAAUGGCACACCAAGACUUCGAUGAGUAGGGGUCCUGAGAGGGAGAUCCCCCACACUGGUACUGAGACACGGACCAGACUCCUACGGGAGGCAGCAGUGAGGAAUAUUGCACAAUGGGCGAAAGCCUGAUGCAGCCAUGCCGCGUGUGUGAAGAAGGCCUUCGGGUUGUAAAGCACUUUCAGCGAGGAGGAAAGGGUGUAGCUUAAUACGCUAUAUCUGUGACGUUACUCGCAGAAGAAGCACCGGCUAACUUCGUG